GUGAGGUAACGGCUCACCAAGGCAUCGACGGGUAGCUGGUCUGAGAGGAUGAUCAGCCACACUGGGACUGAGACACGGCCCAGACUCCUACGGGAGGCAGCAGUGGGGAAUAUUGCACAAUGGGCGCAAGCCUGAUGCAGCGAUACCGCGUGCGGGAUGACGGCCCUAGGGUUGUAAACCGCUUUCAGCAGGGAAGAAAAUGACGGUACCUGCAGAAGAAGGUGCGGCCAACUACGUGCCAGCAGCCGCGGUGACACGUAGGCACCAAGCGUUGUCCGGAUUUAUUGGGCGUAAAGAGCUCGUAGGCGGUUCAGUUAGUCGGGUGUGAAAACUCUGGGCUCAACCCAGAGACGCCACCCGAUACUGCUGUGACUAGAGUACGGUAGGGGAGUGGGGAAUUCCUGGUGUAGCGGUGAAAUGCGCAGAUAUCAGGAGGAACACCAGUGGCGAAGGCGCCACUCUGGGCCGUAACUGACGCUGAGGAGCGAAAGCAUGGGUAGCAAACAGGAUUAGAUACCCUGGUAGUCCAUGCCGUAAACGUUGGGCACUAGGUGUGGGUCUCAACCAACGAGAUCCGCGCCGUCGCUAACGCAUUAAGUG
Molecule: ribosomal RNA, 600 nt
Filed under: uncultured Actinomycetes bacterium
Lineage: Bacteria; Bacillati; Actinomycetota; Actinomycetes
Description: bacterial SSU rRNA
Rfam family: Bacterial small subunit ribosomal RNA
Source: RNAcentral